Molecule: non-coding RNA, 96 nt
Organism: Mycena rebaudengoi
Lineage: Eukaryota; Fungi; Basidiomycota; Agaricomycetes; Agaricales; Mycenaceae
Source: the annotation of a GenBank genome assembly
GCCCUCUUGGAUGAGCUGGUACUAUCACCCAUUAGCCGCCAAUAACCUCUGGAACCAAUUAAAAGGGAGGCGAAGGUUCGAAUCCUCCCGAGGGUA